AGAGUUUGAUCCUGGCUCAGAAUCAACGCUGGCGGCGUGCCUAACACAUGCAAGUCGCACGAGAAAGUGGAGCAAUCCAUGAGUAAAGUGGCGUACGGGUGAGUAACACGUGACUAACCUACCCUCGAGUGGGGAAUAACCUCGGGAAACCGGGGCUAAUACCGCAUAACAUCGCGAGAUCAAAGCAGCAAUGCGCUUGAGGAGGGGGUCGCGUCUGAUUAGCUAGUUGGUAGGGUAACGGCCUACCAAGGCGAUGAUCAGUAGCCGGCCUGAGAGGGCGCACGGCCACACUGGAACUGAAACACGGUCCAGACUCCUACGGGAGGCAGCAGUGGGGAAUUUUGCGCAAUGGGGAAAACCCUGACGCAGCAACGCCGCGUGGAGGAUGAAGUCCCUUGGGACGUAAACUCCUUUCGAUCGGGACGAUUAUGGCGGUACCGGAAGAAGAAGCCCCGGCUAACUUCGUGCCAGCAGCCGCGGUAAUACGAGGGGGGCAAGCGUUGUUCGGAAUUAUUGGGCGUAAAGGGUGCGU
This 532-nucleotide ribosomal RNA is filed under the name uncultured Terriglobales bacterium. Its description in RNAcentral is "bacterial SSU rRNA". It matches the Rfam family "Bacterial small subunit ribosomal RNA", at positions 8 to 572 of the family's 1533-position model. Lineage: Bacteria; Pseudomonadati; Acidobacteriota; Terriglobia; Terriglobales. The record is from RNAcentral.